Molecule: ribosomal RNA, 504 nt
Filed under: Trabulsiella odontotermitis
Lineage: Bacteria; Pseudomonadati; Pseudomonadota; Gammaproteobacteria; Enterobacterales; Enterobacteriaceae
Description: bacterial SSU rRNA
Rfam family: Bacterial small subunit ribosomal RNA
Source: RNAcentral
GUGAGACAGGUGCUGCAUGGCUGUCGUCAGCUCGUGUUGUGAAAUGUUGGGUUAAGUCCCGCAACGAGCGCAACCCUUAUCCUUUGUUGCCAGCGGUCCGGCCGGGAACUCAAAGGAGACUGCCAGUGAUAAACUGGAGGAAGGUGGGGAUGACGUCAAGUCAUCAUGGCCCUUACGACCAGGGCUACACACGUGCUACAAUGGCAUAUACAAAGAGAAGCGACCUCGCGAGAGCAAGCGGACCUCAUAAAGUAUGUCGUAGUCCGGAUCGGAGUCUGCAACUCGACUCCGUGAAGUCGGAAUCGCUAGUAAUCGUGGAUCAGAAUGCCACGGUGAAUACGUUCCCGGGCCUUGUACACACCGCCCGUCACACCAUGGGAGUGGGUUGCAAAAGAAGUAGGUAGCUUAACCUUCGGGAGGGCGCUUACCACUUUGUGAUUCAUGACUGGGGUGAAGUCGUAACAAGGUAACCGUAGGGGAACCUGCGGUUGGAUCACCUCCUUA